RNAcentral lists this ribosomal RNA (500 nucleotides) under uncultured bacterium. Its description in RNAcentral is "partial 16S ribosomal RNA". It matches the Rfam family "Bacterial small subunit ribosomal RNA", at positions 30 to 523 of the family's 1533-position model. The record is from RNAcentral.
AUUGAACGCUGGCGGAAUGCUUUACACAUGCAAGUCGAACGGCAGCACGGACUUCGGUCUGGUGGCGAGUGGCGAACGGGUGAGUAAUGUAUCGGAACGUGCCCAGUCGUGGGGGAUAACGUAGUGAAAAUUACGCUAAUACCGCAUACGAUCUAUGGAUGAAAGCGGGGGAUCGCAAGACCUCGCGCGAUUGGAGCGGCCGAUAUCAGAUUAGGUAGUUGGUGGGGUAAAGGCCCACCAAGCCAACGAUCUGUAGCUGGUCUGAGAGGACGACCAGCCACACUGGAACGGAGACGCGGUCCAGACUCCUACGGGAGGCAGCAGUGGGGAAUUUUGGACAAUGGGCGAAAGCCUGAUCCAGCCAUUCCGCGUGCAGGAUGAAGGCCCUCGGGUUGUAAACUGCUUUUGUACAGAACGAAAAGGUUUCUACUAAUACUAGGAGCUCAUGACGGUACUGUAAGAAUAAGCACCGGCUAACUACGUGCCAGCCGCCGCAGUAA